GGAAUAUUGGACAAUGGGCGCAAGCCUGAUCCAGCCAUGCCGCGUGAGUGAUGAAGGCCCUAGGGUUGUAAAGCUCUUUCACCGGUGAAGAUAAUGACGGUAACCGGAGAAGAAGCCCCGGCUAACUUCGUGCCAGCAGCCGCGGUAAUACGAAGGGGGCUAGCGUUGUUCGGAAUUACUGGGCGUAAAUCGCACGUAGGCGGAUUGUUAAGUGAGGGGUGAAAUCCCAGGGCUCAACCCUGGAACUGCCUUCAAAACUAUCGGUCUGGAGUUCGAGAGAGGUGAGUGGAAUUCCGAGUGUAGAGGUGAAAUUCGUAGAUAUUCGGAGGAACACCAGUGGCGAAGGCGGCUCACUGGCUCGAUACUGACGCUGAGGUGCGAAAGCGUGGGGAGCAAA
Molecule: ribosomal RNA, 397 nt
Filed under: uncultured bacterium
Lineage: Bacteria
Description: bacterial SSU rRNA
Rfam family: Bacterial small subunit ribosomal RNA
Source: RNAcentral